This 233-nucleotide ribosomal RNA is filed under the name uncultured bacterium. Its description in RNAcentral is "partial 16S ribosomal RNA". It matches the Rfam family "Bacterial small subunit ribosomal RNA", at positions 32 to 244 of the family's 1533-position model. The record is from RNAcentral.
AAUCAACGCUGGCGGCGUGCCUCAGACAUGCAAGUCGAACGCGAAAGUCCCUCGGGGGACAAGUAGAGUGGCGCACGGGUGGAGUAACACGUAGGUAAUCUACCUUCGGAGUGGGAAGUAACAACCGGAAACGGUUGCUAAUACCGCAUAAUGCAGCGGCACCUAAUGGUGACAGUUGUUAAAGCGGGGGAGUCGAAAGACCCGCGUCUGAAGAGGAGCCUGCGGCGGAUUAG